UCCCUGGUGGCUCAGAGGUUAAAGCAUCUGCCUGCAAUGCAGGAGACCUGGGUUUGAUCCCUGGCCCACGAA
RNAcentral lists this transfer RNA (72 nucleotides) under Ovis aries (sheep). It matches the Rfam family "tRNA". Rfam says of the family: Transfer RNA (tRNA) molecules are approximately 80 nucleotides in length. Their secondary structure includes four short double-helical elements and three loops (D, anti-codon, and T loops). Lineage: Eukaryota; Metazoa; Chordata; Mammalia; Artiodactyla; Bovidae. The record is from Rfam by way of RNAcentral.